Molecule: transfer RNA, 73 nt
Filed under: Anaerolineales bacterium
Lineage: Bacteria; Bacillati; Chloroflexota; Anaerolineae; Anaerolineales
Description: tRNA-Arg
Rfam family: tRNA
About the family: Transfer RNA (tRNA) molecules are approximately 80 nucleotides in length. Their secondary structure includes four short double-helical elements and three loops (D, anti-codon, and T loops). Further hydrogen bonds mediate the characteristic L-shaped molecular structure. tRNAs have two regions of fundamental functional importance: the anti-codon, which is responsible for specific mRNA codon recognition, and the 3' end, to which the tRNAs corresponding amino acid is attached (by aminoacyl-tRNA synthetases). tRNAs cope with the degeneracy of the genetic code in two manners: having more than one tRNA (with a specific anti-codon) for a particular amino acid; and 'wobble' base-pairing, i.e. permitting non-standard base-pairing at the 3rd anti-codon position.
Source: RNAcentral
GCCUCCGUAGCUCAACGGACAGAGCGCCUGCCUUCUAAGCAGUAGGUUGAAGGUUCGAUUCCUUCCGGAGGCA